RNAcentral lists this long non-coding RNA (1773 nucleotides) under Marmota monax (woodchuck). Lineage: Eukaryota; Metazoa; Chordata; Mammalia; Rodentia; Sciuridae. The record is from RNAcentral.
GUUGUACUUAAAUUCAAAAUUGCACUUUUUUUUUUCUGCCCAGAUAACCAUGAUGAUUACAGAGACUUCUUCUGUGACUCUUGCUCCUUUUGAAGAUAUAUUGAGUCGGAUGCUCUUUGGUUGGCAGCACCAUUUUUCAUUGUGUGAAAAGAAAUGUGGAGCAAAAUCGUCUUCCAAUGGCACUGGUUCAUCAGUCUCAAAACCUAUAACCGAUGGUUCAGAUAAUGUUAAAAGGAAACAUUCUAAGAAGACUGAGUAAAUUUACUUGAGCUCUAGAAGGCAAAAAAAAAUUCUUUUCUACCUAUCAGAUUGUGAUAAAUAUUUCUAUGUAGAUGAUGUGAAAUAAAGAUUAUAUAUAAGGAAUGGAGGUGACAAAAAGAAAGAAAUUCUUUCUGUUUUAGGGUGACUACCACUUUCUUGAUUGUAAUUCUUGAGUGUCAUGAGUAUAUCAUGUGAAUUUUUUUCUGAUAUAAAGUAUCUUGUGAUUAUUUGAAUAGUUUACAUUGAUAAAAGAAAUUAAAAAAAUUUGAAACUUUUAAAAAAUUGGGUAAUUUCAUGCAUUUAAAAAAAUCUGAAUCUAUUUGAGCUUUAGUUCAGAAUUAAACUUUUAAAAGUAAAUAAAAGUUUAAUUCCUAGGUAUGGAAAAUUAAUUGAUUAAAAAAUUAAAAUUCUAAUUUAAUUUUGAGCAUUGAGGACGUUAACUUUUCCUAAAAUACUUUCUAUUAUAUAUGGAUAUAAAUUGCUAGUUUAUAUUUGCUAUAUAAACAUUGUAAUUUUGCCCUCGUUAAAAUAGAAAAUACCUGAAAUUUAUCUUAAUUUUAUCUCUAAUAGUACUUUUCAGUAAGAACACAAUAUUGUUGUAUGAAUUUCAGUUUGAAGUCUGCUUCAUGCCCUUGUUUAAAAAACUGUUUUUUUCCUCCUCACAAGAAAAUUAGGGGUACAAUUUUUGAUAAAUUACUUUUCAGUUUUCCAAGAUUACAAAACAUGGAAUUUUCUUUUUUUUUCCUUCCCUCUUUCUCUCUCCUUAAAACACAUUUAUUUCAACUGUAGAGAAAAUUUUCACAUUUCACAUGUUCUCCCUGACUUUGGUUGUUCUGAAUACAUUGGUAGCAGUUGUCUUAAUGAUUCAACACAAAGUAUUAUCUCCAUUAAAUUUGUUUCUUCCAUAUCUCCUUUCUAGUGGCUACUUUCUCAGUUUUUUGUUUGAAUGUUUCAUGUUAGAUUAAAUAUGGUUAUAUUUAGUUUUAAUCUAUGUGUACAUGCAUUAUUUAUUUUGUUUUAAAUGAAAACCAAUUACCUUCAUGUGAAAAUGCUCAGCUCUGAAGAGAAUUGUCUGUACACAUUUGAUAGUAAUCAGCUAGGAAACAGAUCAACCGAAAUCUCAUGGUUGUCUUAUUUGAUUGAAGAAUGAUGACAUUAAAUCUGGUUUCUUAUUGGCAAAAUAAACCAGAAAAGUACUAAAUGAUAUUAGAGUUUCUUUAUUUUAUGAUUUAAAAGUACAGUUCUAACAUUCAAACUCUGUGACAUGAUUUCUUAUACCAAGACCAUGAACAUACUACCUGUAUCAGGUAGAACUUUUAGAUGGCUUAGAAGUACUCAAAUCAUUCAAGUUGAAAGUUCUUUUUAACAACUGUGAACACCAGCGGGUACCAUAUAGCUUAUGAAAAAUGAUUUUCUUUUUGGCACAUGGAGCACUUUUGAUACUCUUAGAAUGCUAAGAAUGCUAAGAAACUUGUUUUUAAUAUUAUAAUAGCCUUAAAAUGAAUUCUGUGU